AUUGAACGCUGGCGGCAUGCUUUACACAUGCAAGUCGAACGGCAGCGGGGUGGAGCUUGCUUCUCUGCCGGCGAGUGGCGGACGGGUGAGUCAUACAUCGGAACGUGUCGAGAAGAGGGGGAUAACCACCCGAAAGGGUUGCUAAUACCGCAUAAAUUCUGAGGAAGAGAGCGGGUGAGCUAGGAAUAGGCCUAGCGCUUUUUGAGGCGGCGAUGUCGGAUUAGCUAGUUGGUGGGGUAAAGGCUCACCAAGGCGAAGAUCUGUAGCGGGUCUGAGAGGGUGAUCCGCCACACUGGGACUGAGACACGGCCCAGACUCCUACGGGAGGCAGCAGUGGGGAAUUUUGGACAAAGGGGGCAAACCUGAUCCAGCCAUGCCGCGUGUAUGAAGAAGGCCUUAGGGUUGUAAAGUACUUUUGUUAGGGAAGAAAAGCCAGCUGUGAAUAAUGGCUGAUACUGACGGUACCUAAAGAAUAAGCACCGGCUAACUACGUG
RNAcentral lists this ribosomal RNA (494 nucleotides) under uncultured bacterium. RNAcentral's name for it is "partial 16S ribosomal RNA". It matches the Rfam family "Bacterial small subunit ribosomal RNA", at positions 30 to 507 of the family's 1533-position model. The record is from RNAcentral.